AGCGAACGCUGGCGGCAGGCUUAACACAUGCAAGUCGAGCGGACCUUUCGGGGUCAGCGGCGGACGGGUGAGUAACGCGUGGGAACGUGCCUUCCGGUUCGGAAUAACCCUGGGAAACUAGGGCUAAUACCGGAUACGCCCUUAUGGGGAAAGGUUUACUGCCGGAAGAUCGGCCCGCGUCUGAUUAGCUAGUUGGUGGGGUAACGGCCUACCAAGGCGACGAUCAGUAGCUGGUCUGAGAGGAUGAUCAGCCACACUGGGACUGAGACACGGCCCAGACUCCUACGGGAGGCAGCAGUGGGGAAUAUGGGACAAUGGGCGCAAGCCUGAUCCAGCCAUGCCGCGGGAGUGAUGAAGGCCUUAGGGUUGUAAAGCUCUUUUAUCCGGGACGAUAAUGACGGUACCGGAGGAAUAAGCCCCGGCUAACUUCGU
RNAcentral lists this ribosomal RNA (432 nucleotides) under uncultured bacterium. Its description in RNAcentral is "partial 16S ribosomal RNA". It matches the Rfam family "Bacterial small subunit ribosomal RNA", at positions 29 to 506 of the family's 1533-position model. The record is from RNAcentral.